This is a non-coding RNA of Drosophila melanogaster (fruit fly), 489 nucleotides long. The record is from Ensembl. Lineage: Eukaryota; Metazoa; Arthropoda; Insecta; Diptera; Drosophilidae.
GAACCUGUCACAGACAGCUGCCGAGUCUCCGGCUGGCACAUGCAAUCACCCGGCGGAGCAAAGUGCGAAGACCGACGUCAUCGUGGAACGCUGACGCAACGACCUUGCCAAGCGGCCCACCUCCCGACGCUCCCACCGGCCACCCACCUUAAAGUCCAACGGGCUGUGAGUCACCAGUCGCCAUUGAUUUCCAUUAGAUUUCGAUUCGAUGACUGGCACUCAUGCGGAUCACAGAUUACAGGAUGUCGGACGACUUAGUUGGAUUUCUGGGAAUCUCGAAAUCCCACUGAGCAAUGCUAUGAUAUUGACUUCGAUUGCAUUGCGGAACUGACUUGGAUUACGAUUGGAUUACAACACGGAACUUUAUGAUAAUAUUUUCCAAAAGCCUUUGGUCCAGAUUAUUAAUGAUAUCAUGUAACUAAAUAAUCAUUGAAUAUUUCCCCUAGCAAGAACUUACAUAUAUAUAAUAAUUAUAAGUCCGACGACUUU